CCUACGGGUGGCAGCAGUGAGGAAUAUUGGUCAAUGAGCGCGAGCCUGAACCAGCCAAGUAGCGUGAAGGAUGACUGCCCUACGGGUUGUAAACUUCUUUUAUAAAGGAAUACAGUGAGGCUCGUGUGCCUUUUUGUAUGUACUUUAUGAAUAAGGAUCGUGUAACUCCGUGCCAGCAGCCGCGGUAAGACGGAGGAUCCGAGCGUUAUCCGGUUGGAUUGGGUUUAAAGGGAGCGUAGAUGGGUUGUUAAGUCAGUUGUGAAAGUUUGGGGCUUAACCGUAAAAUUGCAAUUGAUACUGGCAGCCUUGAGUACAGUAGAGGUAGGCGGAAUUCGUGGUGAAGCGGUGAAAUGCGUAGAUAUCACGAAGAACUCCGAUUGCGAAGGCAGCCUACUGAACUGCCACUGACACUGAUGCUCGAAAGUGUGGGGAUCAAACAGGAUUAGAUACCCGGGUAGUC
RNAcentral lists this ribosomal RNA (460 nucleotides) under uncultured bacterium. Its description in RNAcentral is "partial 16S ribosomal RNA". It matches the Rfam family "Bacterial small subunit ribosomal RNA", at positions 338 to 795 of the family's 1533-position model. The record is from RNAcentral.